CCCGCACAAAGUCACGACGCCUCCGCUGUCCUCGAGACACUCCUCUGCACAAAGAGGCGCCAUUUUAAAAAAAUUUCAGUCGGAGCCGAGGAGCAACCGAUGGAAGUGGGAGGUGAGCGGCUUCGAGCCGCGCCGGCCGAGCACCCCCUUCGUCCGGCGGUACUCGAUCUCUGCCGCCGCCGCCGCCUCCGCCUCCUCGCCGCCCUCGCAGCUCCCGCUGGCCUCCAAGGUCCAGCGGCUCGCGGACAAUGUCCAGAGCGAUUUCCGGAUGCAGCUUGCGAGGUAGGAUUACUUGGAGCUGAGACAAGAGGCGAGCGAACUGCAGGAGUAUUCCAACGCGAAGCUCAAUCGAGUCACGCGCUACCUCGGCGUUCUCGCCGACAAGACGCGGAAAAUAGAUCAAAUCGCCCUUGAAGGUGAGGCUAGGUUAGCACCGCUCGUCAGUGAGAAGAGGAAGUUGUUCAAUGAGUUGUUGACAUCCAAAGAGUAAUUAUGAUAGAAAAGCAUCACCUUUUCUGGCAAAAGAAUUACUAAGAAUUUAUACAAAGGAGAAAAGUUGGAGGGAGCAACUCUGGAAAAAUGGCAUUGUAAAAUCAUCUCCAGUGCCACCACGGACACGUCCUGAAUGUGUGGGGACUGAGGAGGAUCCUAAGUGCAUUAUAUGUCAGCAAUAUCUUUAUCUUUCUGCAGUUGUAUGCGAUUGUAGGUCAUCUGCUUUUGUUUGUCUUGAGCACUGGCAACACAUCCGUGAAUGCAAACCCAGCAAACAUUGCAUCCUUUACCAUCAUACAUAAGCAUAGUUAAGUGACUUGCUGCUCACUGUCGAUAAAUACAAUGGUGAGGUGACUCAAAGGAGUAAGGUGCUCCAGCAAAGAUCUUUCUCCAGUGAAACAAGUUCUUCAGCGAAAAAGGUGUCUUGUCGCGGGAGCAUAUACAUAAAGAAGCUAAGGUCACCUGCUGGAGUUGAAUUUUAUUGAUUUCCCUAUGAGUGGCAUAUUGGUUCAAAACCACUUCAAUUAUUUUUUUUACAGCUGAUCUGAACCGUUUGCAAGAUGACGGUAAUUAGGCAAUCUGAAGUUCGCCAAUUGAACUCCGGAUCGAUGGCUGCUUGGAAAUGGUGCAGGAAUCUCUUCGACAUAGGUGUAUAUCUGUAGACUAGACCCUCAUAGUGUGUACAUGAAUGUAGCUUUAAAGAUUGUUAAAUGGUUGCGUGCUCAAAUUUAAUGGGCACAAAUUUGAUGUUAGAUGGUUGCCUGCUCACUAUUAUCUUGCUGUACAUAGACACAAGGUCAUUAUGAGUUAUGAAUGUGACCAAUGAUGUUGCACUGUCCAGUAAGUUCUCUUU
This is a long non-coding RNA of Eucalyptus grandis, 1345 nucleotides long. RefSeq lists it as uncharacterized. The transcript is spliced from 7 exons. The record is from RefSeq and is a predicted model, not a curated record. Lineage: Eukaryota; Viridiplantae; Streptophyta; Magnoliopsida; Myrtales; Myrtaceae.